CAGGAGCUAGUUUAAAACAAAACAGUUGUUUUGGGGACAAUCAAUGCAAAUUUAACCUUGCGCACCUGA
Molecule: transfer RNA, 69 nt
Filed under: Holothuria leucospilota
Lineage: Eukaryota; Metazoa; Echinodermata; Holothuroidea; Aspidochirotida; Holothuriidae
Description: tRNA-Pro
Source: RNAcentral